UUAGGACGAACGCUGGCGGCGUGCCUAAUACAUGCAAGUCGAACGGUCUUUCUAUGGAAGCUUGCUUCCACUGAGAAGGUAGUGGCGAACGGGUGAGUAACACGUGGGUAACCUGCCCAUAAGAGGGGGAUAACAUCCGGAAACGGGUGCUAAUACCGCAUAGUUUUCUUGAUCGCAUGAUUGAGAAAGGAAAGACGGCCUUUGUGCUGUCGCUUAUGGAUGGACCCGCGGCGUAUUAGUUAGUUGGUGAGGUAACGGCUCACCAAGACGAUGAUACGUAGCCGACCUGAGAGGGUGAUCGGCCACAUUGGGACUGAGACACGGCCCAAACUCCUACGGGAGGCAGCAGUAGGGAAUCUUCCGCAAUGGACGAAAGUCUGACGGAGCAACGCCGCGUGAGUGAAGAAGGUCUUUCCGGAUCGUAAAACUCUGUUGUCAGAGAAGAACAAGUUGGAGAGUAACUGCUCCAGCCUUGACGGUAUCUGACCAGAAAGCCACGGCUAACUACGUGCCAGCAGCUGC
This 522-nucleotide ribosomal RNA is filed under the name uncultured bacterium. RNAcentral describes it as "bacterial SSU rRNA". It matches the Rfam family "Bacterial small subunit ribosomal RNA", at positions 24 to 518 of the family's 1533-position model. The record is from RNAcentral.